This 198-nucleotide unclassified non-coding RNA is filed under the name Jurinea humilis. RNAcentral describes it as "ITS2". The record is from RNAcentral. Lineage: Eukaryota; Viridiplantae; Streptophyta; Magnoliopsida; Asterales; Asteraceae.
CGCGUCGCCCCCGACCACGCCACCCUCAUGGGAAUGGCUUGUGUCGGGGGCGGAGACUGGCCUCCCAUGCCCAUGGUGUGGUUGGCCUAAAAAGGAGUCCCCUUUGUCGGACGCACGGCCAGUGGUGGUUGUCAAGGCCUUUGUAACGAGCCGUGUGGAUGCAAAGGGACCGCUCUAAAAAGACCCCAACGUGCUGUC